Molecule: ribosomal RNA, 253 nt
Filed under: uncultured bacterium
Lineage: Bacteria
Description: partial 16S ribosomal RNA
Rfam family: Bacterial small subunit ribosomal RNA
Source: RNAcentral
UACGGAGGGAGCUAGCGUUGUUCGGAUUUACUGGGCGUAAAGCGCACGUAGGCGGCGCCGUAAGUCAGGGGUGAAAUCCCGGAGCUCAACUCCGGAACUGCCCUUGAAACUGCAGUGCUAGAAUCUUGGAGAGGCGAGUGGAAUUCCGAGUGUAGAGGUGAAAUUCGUAGAUAUUCGGAAGAACACCAGUGGCGAAGGCGACUCGCUGGACAAGUAUUGACGCUGAGGUGCGAAAGCGUGGGGAGCAAACAGG